Molecule: transfer RNA, 70 nt
Filed under: Diprioninae sp. GYN-2022c
Lineage: Eukaryota; Metazoa; Arthropoda; Insecta; Hymenoptera; Diprionidae
Description: tRNA-Trp
Source: RNAcentral
AAGAUUUUAAGUUAAUAUAAAACUAGUUACCUUCAAAGUAUAAAAUAAAAAUUUAAUUUUUUAGAUCUUA